CACGUAGGGGGCAAGCGUUGUCCGGAUUUAUUGGGCGUAAAGAGCUCGUAGGCGGUUCGGUACGUCGGGUGUGAAACCUCCAGGCUCAACCUGGAGACGCCACCUGAUACUGCUGUGACUCGAGUCCGGUAGGGGAGCGUGGAAUUCCUGGUGUAGCGGUGAAAUGCGCAGAUAUCAGGAGGAACACCAGCGGCGAAGGCGGCGCUCUGGGCCGGAACUGACGCUGAGGAGCGAAAGCGUGGGUAGCAAACAGG
This 254-nucleotide ribosomal RNA is filed under the name uncultured bacterium. Its description in RNAcentral is "partial 16S ribosomal RNA". It matches the Rfam family "Bacterial small subunit ribosomal RNA", at positions 524 to 776 of the family's 1533-position model. The record is from RNAcentral.